Molecule: ribosomal RNA, 254 nt
Filed under: uncultured bacterium
Lineage: Bacteria
Description: partial 16S ribosomal RNA
Rfam family: Bacterial small subunit ribosomal RNA
Source: RNAcentral
GACGUAGGGCGCGAGCGUUGUCCGGAUUUAUUGGGCGUAAAGAGCUCGUAGGCGGCUCGUUGCGUCGGCUGUGAAAACCCGCAGCUCAACUGUGGGCGUGCGGUCGAUACGGGCAUCACUGGAGUUCGGCAGGGGAGACUGGAAUUCCUGGUGUAGCGGUGAAAUGCGCAGAUAUCAGGAGGAACACCGAUGGCGAAGGCAGCUCGCUGGGACGGUACUGACGCUGAGGCGCGAAAGCGUGGGGAGCGAACAGG